GGGACGGCCCGCCAGAGGACCCCUAAACUCUGUUUCUAUAUGUAACUUCUGAGUAAAACCAUAAAUAAAUCAAAACUUUCAACAACGGAUCUCUUGGUUCUGGCAUCGAUGAAGAACGCAGCAAAAUGCGAUAAGUAAUGUGAAUUGCAGAAUUCAGUGAAUCAUCGAAUCUUUGAACGCACAUUGCGCCCGCCAGUAUUCUGGCGGGCAUGCCUGUUCGAGCGUCAUUUCAACCCUCAAGCACAGCUUGGUGUUGGGACUCGCGUUAAUUCGCGUUCCUCAAAUUGAUUGGCGGUCACGUCGAGCUUCCAUAGCGUAGUAGUAAAACCCUCGUUACUGGUAAUCGUCGCGGCCACGCCGUUAAACCCCAACUUCUGAAUGUUGACCUCGGAUCAGGUAGGAAUACCCGCUGAACUUAAGCAUAUCAAUAAGCGGAGGAA
Molecule: ribosomal RNA, 440 nt
Filed under: Fusarium oxysporum f. sp. phaseoli
Lineage: Eukaryota; Fungi; Ascomycota; Sordariomycetes; Hypocreales; Nectriaceae
Description: eukaryotic LSU rRNA
Rfam family: 5.8S ribosomal RNA (bases 74-227)
Source: RNAcentral